Molecule: long non-coding RNA, 1146 nt
Organism: Dama dama (fallow deer)
Lineage: Eukaryota; Metazoa; Chordata; Mammalia; Artiodactyla; Cervidae
Exons: 3
Source: RefSeq, a predicted model, not a curated record
CCUGCUUUCCCCAAGAGCCCACACUUCUACAUGAACCCGAAACCCCAGUCACAGAUGGCAGAGGAAAGAGUCAGCGAGCAAUCUCGGGUGGCUUCUGUUAUACGUGGCUGCAUCCUGCUUGAAGUGGAUGACGACUGUGUACUUUCCUAGGAAGAUGUCAAAUUGUUUCUGCUAAGCACUGCUAGCUUCAGCAACGGAAAGCUUUCCUUGGAAAUUCUUGCCAGCAAGGGCUUUCCUCUGCCAUCACAGUGUCAUUUCCACGUACCUUGAGAAGCACACUGCAGCCGCUGAACACCUUGGAUCGUCUCAAAGUUCAGCCCAGCGAACCUUAGGAAGACCAGGAAGAACCAGAGGAAGUAUGGAAACAUUUGUCAUCCUGGAAUACAAGGUCAGGCACCAAUCAUGAGGAUGAUUCAGUUAAUGAUGGAAGAAAAAGCAGAAAGGAGAGAAAAGUUCCAAUGUGUGAACAGAUCCAAGUAGGGAAUUGAGUCACCAACCAAAGUGUUGUUUGCUGUACAAUUACUCUUCACUCCCAAACACAGUUGCCAUAUCCAGCUGUCAGAAUGAAAGGACUAUUUCCUAAAGUAUUGUCCUAUCCAGGCUGAAUCCAUGGGAAACUGGCCUGCUAAUAUAGUAGGAUCACAUUUUUGCCAACUAGUGAGUGAGUUGUGAAAACCUUCACUCCUGCGUACCAGCUCAGUGCUUCUCAACCUUGGUUCAGGUCAUGGGCAUUCUUGAGAUAAAAUCAGAUAAAAGAUAUAAACCCUUUUCUCCGAAAAGUGCACACACACACACGCACAAAUUUCUGUAAACAAUUUGAAGUGGUUCCACUUUGGAACAAGUGGUUCACUUGUUUGCAAAUACCCAAUUAUGAUUCUCCCUUGGGCCAUAGAUUUCACAUUAAGGAUCUUCUAUAUUAGAGAUGAGGAAAGUAGUUUUUAUCAGUAUUCCAUGUAUCAGAUAUAAUAAUAAAAAUUUGUUGUUGUUCAGUUGCUAUGUAUGACUCUUUGCAAACUCAUGGACUAUUGCAUGCCAGGCUUCUCUGUCCUUCACUACUACUGGAGUUUGCUCAAACUCAGGUCCAUAGAGCUGGUGAUGCCAUCCAACCAUCUCAUCCUCUGUCAUCCCCUUCUCCUCCUGCCCUCA